UACGAAGGGUGCAAGCGUUAUUCGGAAUUACUGGGCGUAAAGCGUGCGUAGGUGGCUCGUUAAGUCUGUCGUGAAAGCCGCGGGCUCAACCUGGGAACGGCGAUGGAUACUGGCGGGCUAGAGUGCGGUGAGAGGGAAGUGGAAUUCCCGGUGUAGUGGUGAAAUGCGUAGAUAUCGGGAGGAACACCAGUGGCGAAGGCGACUUCCUGGCCUGUUCUUGACGCUGAGGCGCGAAAGCUAGGGGAGCAAACAGG
Molecule: ribosomal RNA, 254 nt
Filed under: uncultured bacterium
Lineage: Bacteria
Description: partial 16S ribosomal RNA
Rfam family: Bacterial small subunit ribosomal RNA
Source: RNAcentral